UCCUUGGAACAGGACGUCAUAGAGGGUGAGAAUCCCGUAUGUGACUGGCCGCCACGCCCGUGUGAAGCUCCUUCGACGAGUCGAGUUGUUUGGGAAUGCAGCUCAAAAUGGGUGGUAAAUUUCAUCUAAAGCUAAAUAUUGGCCAGAGACCGAUAGCGCACAAGUAGAGUGAUCGAAAGAUGAAAAGCACUUUGGAAAGAGAGUCAAACAGUACGUGAAAUUGUUGAAAGGGAAGCGCUUGCAACCAGACUUGCCCGCGGGUGAUCAGCCGGUAUUCUUACCGGUGCACUCGCCCGUGGUCAGGCCAGCAUCGGUUCGGGCGGCUGGAUAAAGUCCACUGGAAUGUAGCUCCUCUCGGGGAGUGUUAUAGCCAGAGGUGCCAUGCAGCCCGCCCGGACCGAGGACCGCGCUUCGGCUAGGAUGCUGGCGUAAUGGUUGUAAGCGACCCGUCUUGAAACACGGACCAAGGAGUCUAACAUCUAUGCGAGUGUUUGGGUGUCAAACCCAUGCGCGUAAUGAAAGUGAACGGAGGUGGGAACCCUCAAGGGUGCACCAUCGACCGAUCCUGAUGUCUUCGGAUGGAUUUGAGUAAGAGCAUAGCUGUUGGGACCCGAAAGAUGGUGAACUAUGCCUGAAUAGGGUGAAGCCAGAGGAAACUCUGGUGGAGGCUCGCAGCGGUUCUGACGUGCAAAUCGAUCGUCAAAUUUGGGUAUA
Molecule: ribosomal RNA, 714 nt
Filed under: Sarcogyne sp.
Lineage: Eukaryota; Fungi; Ascomycota; Lecanoromycetes; Acarosporales; Acarosporaceae
Description: partial large subunit ribosomal RNA
Rfam family: Eukaryotic large subunit ribosomal RNA
Source: RNAcentral